GUUGAACGCUGGCGGCGGGCCUAAUACAUGCAAGUCGAGCGGACGAACGGGGCUUGUUCCUGGAUUCCGUGAGGGGCGGGUGAGUAAGGAAUAGGAAUAUGCCUGGUCGUGGGGGAUAACGUACGUACAGGGGAGCUAAUCUCGCAUAGGUCCUGAUAGAGAAAGGGAGGGAUCUACGGUCCAAGAGCGAUCUGCUGAGACUAGGUGGGAUUAGCUAGUUGGUAAGGUAAAGGCCUACCAAGGCGACGAUCCGUAACUGACCUGAGAGGAUGAUCAGUCACACUGGAACUGAGACACGGUCCAGACUCCUACGGGAGGCAGCAGUGGGGAAUAUUGGACAAUGGGCGAAAGCCUGACGCAGCCAUGCCGCGUGUGUGAAGAAGGUCUUCGGAUUGUAAAGCUCUUUAAGUAGGGAAGAACGGCAGUAAGUUUACCCAUGGCCGUCUUGACGGUACCAACAGAAAAAGCACCGGCUAACUUCGUG
Molecule: ribosomal RNA, 484 nt
Filed under: uncultured bacterium
Lineage: Bacteria
Description: partial 16S ribosomal RNA
Rfam family: Bacterial small subunit ribosomal RNA
Source: RNAcentral